This 84-nucleotide transfer RNA is filed under the name Caldimicrobium thiodismutans. It matches the Rfam family "tRNA". From Rfam's summary of the family: Transfer RNA (tRNA) molecules are approximately 80 nucleotides in length. The record is from Rfam by way of RNAcentral. Lineage: Bacteria; Pseudomonadati; Thermodesulfobacteriota; Thermodesulfobacteria; Thermodesulfobacteriales; Thermodesulfobacteriaceae.
GCCGAGGUGGCGGAAUAGGCAGACGCGCUGGAUUCAGGAUCCAGUGGAGGCAACUCCGUGCGGGUUCAACUCCCGCCCUCGGCA